This is a small nucleolar RNA of Apodemus sylvaticus (European woodmouse), 132 nucleotides long. RefSeq annotates it as small nucleolar RNA SNORA17. The record is from RefSeq and is a predicted model, not a curated record. The transcript has a single exon. Lineage: Eukaryota; Metazoa; Chordata; Mammalia; Rodentia; Muridae.
CCUGCUCCUAGAGGCAUUGCUGGUGCAACUGAUGUGUCAUAUGUGCAUCCAUAAGUGGCAGAGAGGAGAGAGGUUAUGUCUAUGCUCAGUGUUCUUGUCUAUGAACAUCUGAAUGAUUAGUGGCCUAAUGUU